CCGCAUUCUCAGGGCAGGGUGAAAUUCCCUACUGGCGGUCAAGCCCGCGAGCGUUUGUUAUAAGGCAAAGUCAGCAGAUUUGGUGAAAUUCCAAAGCCAACAGUUACAGUCUGGAUGAAAGAGAGUAAAC
RNAcentral lists this non-coding RNA (130 nucleotides) under Actinobacillus succinogenes. RNAcentral describes it as "FMN sequence". It matches the Rfam family "FMN riboswitch aptamer (RFN element)". From Rfam's summary of the family: The RFN element is a highly conserved domain that is found frequently in the 5'-untranslated regions of prokaryotic mRNAs that encode for flavin mononucleotide (FMN) biosynthesis and transport proteins. This element is a metabolite-dependent riboswitch that directly binds FMN in the absence of proteins. The record is from RNAcentral. Lineage: Bacteria; Pseudomonadati; Pseudomonadota; Gammaproteobacteria; Pasteurellales; Pasteurellaceae. RNAcentral also lists the same sequence under 1 other name.